CUUCGGGCUCUGUGCAACGAGGUCCCGCGAACCCCGCCAGGCCCGGAAGGGAGCAACGGUACCGGGACCACCUCGGGUGCCGCAGAUCACCCGAAGUUC
This is a non-coding RNA of Acidobacteria bacterium 13_1_40CM_56_16, 99 nucleotides long. NCBI's taxonomy places the organism in Bacteria, Pseudomonadati, Acidobacteriota. The record is from Rfam.